This 2057-nucleotide ribosomal RNA is filed under the name Synurella sp. AH_12.2. Its description in RNAcentral is "eukaryotic LSU rRNA". The stretch from base 1593 to 2057 matches the Rfam family "Eukaryotic large subunit ribosomal RNA", at positions 1 to 415 of the family's 3401-position model. Lineage: Eukaryota; Metazoa; Arthropoda; Malacostraca; Amphipoda; Crangonyctidae. The record is from RNAcentral.
AGGUGAACCUGCGGAAGGAUCAUUAACGUUAUCAAAGACCGAUCGAUAUAUUCAAGGCUUAUGAUGUUGGGAUGAACCAUCGUGUGCCGCGCCCUAGCAAGCGGACGAUGUAAAACAAACGACAGCUCAGGCAAACUUCUGAUCUUACCCAAAAUACCCGUUUACCGGAGACGAGCAAACCGCUUGUCGUGCACGAUUGCGGCGUAGACCAGAGCGGCAGCGUCGCGACUACUGGCAGGCGUUCCCCGUGCACGUGCAGGCGCGUGUGUUCGUAUUCCAAUUGUAAAAAAACCACCAUACAACUCUGAGCGGUGGAUCACUUGGCCUGUGGAUGCUAUGAAGACCAUAGCUAAAUGUGAGAACGGCAGCGAGUCGUUGCUAUAUGCGCUGUCUCCCUUCUCUCAUAUGUCGAAUGCACAUUGCGCCCCACCAGCGCGGUCGAUGAUGGGAUGGAUGAAAUCUGUGAGAUCCGUACACAAACGCGAAGGUGUGGCCUCGGAGCAACGGCCGGGGAGCCAGGAGCAUCCAAGUGUGCGUUGCGGAUCUGUGUCAAAGUAAUCCGUUCGACCCUGAAGGUGGGGCACUUCUAGUCGAGUGUGGUGGAUCGAAGCCAGUGAUCUCUGUCUGUGAGAGUGGAUUGUCGUCUCACAACAGAGCAAAGCUGUGUCUUCUUGGCUCUCUUGUGGCAAUUUGGGUCGACACCAGUCGCGCCCGUUCAAUCAACUGUCAGGCUCGUUACCUCUGCACGUUUCUCCUACAGCCAAGCGGCGCCAGGCAAGAUUCGUGCAUUGCAGGUCAAUGCCGGCAAUCUUACUUAGCGGCCAGGGCACUGUAGCAAGACCAGUGGCAGGCAACUGCUGCUGUUCGUGCAUGAGUGCGCAUCGGUCCAAUCAAUACAUGGUAUGUGUGAAGGAGUCUCUAUGGCUGAUGGAUAUGGAAGCGCUCUCUUAUGAUCUCGCUCCUGUUCUCUCGAUGCAUCAUCUCUCUCUUGACUUGCUGAAAAACUAUGUACCACCGGCUGAGAUGGCUCGGGUAGUGCAAGUUUCUGGCUCGAUCGAUGUCAUGUACGCGUGUGUCAAGGCUUUUUGGUGUAACAGACAGGCAAAGUAAGGCUCUGGAUGCAUAUCCGGGUCAAGUUUACGGUAUUCAAGGUGAUAUAUGACACACACACACACGACAUGACUGACGCGAGCCAGGAGCCCGAGUCUUUGCAAGAGCGACAGCUCUCCUCUCCGACUCUCCCUCAAGCGUGGGACCAAAGGGUGAGAGAGGUAGAGUCUUUGCAAGAGCGACAGCUCUCCUCUCCGACUCUCCCUCAAGCGUGGGACCAAAGGGUGAGAGAGGUAGAGUGUUGUCGCAUUCAGCAGCAAGUCGAGCCCUCAUGGAGAGAUACACUAAGCACUUGAGAGCAGGAGCCCGUGUAGGGCGGGAUAGAGCAAAAGAGAGACAAGGAAUGAAUAUGAUGUGAGACCUCCCAAGCACCUCUGCCAAUCAUGUAUUGUCUCGUGUAUGCAUGCGGUGAUGAUGAUGCUGCUCUGCUGUUGAUGCUUGCACAACACAGCCUCUCGUCGUCCUGCCUCUGCUGUUAGCCACCACCUCGACUUAGGAGAGAUUACCCGCUGAACUUAAGCAUAUCAGUAAGCGGAGGAAAAGAAACCAAUCAGGGAUUCCCACAGUAGGGGCGACCGAACUGGGAAGAGCUCAGCGCAGAACCUCCCGGGCCACCCGGCCUGCGGCGGAAUGUUGCGUAAAGGGAAAGGUCGUAUUCAAACCCUUCAGCCACGCGAGCGCUAAGUCAGCCACGAAUUGGCUAGCCCGACUAACGGAGGGUAUGACUCCACGGAGGGUGUAAGACCCGUGUGGGCGCGUGUUAAAGCUGAAUGGGAAUGGCUUUUGUUCCCUGAGAGUCGCGUUGCUUUGGCAUGCAGCGCUAAGCAGGUCGUAAACUCGAUCUAAGGCUAAAUAUUUCCACAGGACCGAUAGCGAACAAGUACCGUGAGGGAAAGUUGAAAAGCACUCUGAAGAGAGAGUCAAAAGACCGUGAAACCGCUCAGAGU